UACGUAGGGUGCAAGCGUUGUCCGGAAUUAUUGGGCGUAAAGAGCUCGUAGGCGGCUUGUCACGUCGACUGUGAAAACCCGGGGCUCAACUCCGGGCCUGCAGUCGAUACGGGCUGGCUUGAGUGCGGUAGGGGAGACUGGAAUUCCUGGUGUAGCGGUGAAAUGCGCAGAUAUCAGGAGGAACACCGGUGGCGAAGGCGACAUCCUGGACCGGUAUUGACGCUGAGGCGCGAAAGCCAGGGGAGCAAACGGG
Molecule: ribosomal RNA, 253 nt
Filed under: uncultured bacterium
Lineage: Bacteria
Description: partial 16S ribosomal RNA
Rfam family: Bacterial small subunit ribosomal RNA
Source: RNAcentral